GACGAACGCUGGCGGCGUGCUUAACACAUGCAAGUCGAACGGAAAGGCCUUUUCGGAGGUACUCGAGUGGCGCACGGGUGAGUAACACGUGGGUGAUCUGCCCUGCACUCUGGGAUAAGCCUGGGAAACUGGGUCUAAUACCGGAUAGGACCGCACUUUAGUGUGUGUGGUGGAAAGUUGUUUCGGUGUAGGAUGAGCCCGCGGCCUAUCAGCUUGUUGGUGGGGUAAUGGCCUACCAAGGCGGCGACGGGUAGCCGGACUGAGAGGUUGGUCGGCCACAUUGGGACUGAGAUACGGCCCAGACGCCUACGGGAGGCAGCAGUGGGGAAGAUUGCACAAUGGGCGCAAGCCUGAUGCAGCGACGCCGCGUGGGGGAUGACGGCCUUCGGGUUGUAAACGCCUUUCGCCAGGGACGAAGCGUUUUGUGACGGUACCUGGAGAAGAAGCACCGGCUAACUACGUG
This 463-nucleotide ribosomal RNA is filed under the name uncultured bacterium. Its description in RNAcentral is "partial 16S ribosomal RNA". It matches the Rfam family "Bacterial small subunit ribosomal RNA", at positions 28 to 507 of the family's 1533-position model. The record is from RNAcentral.